GACAGAGGGUGCAAACGUUGUUCGGAUUUACUGGGCGUAAAGCGCGUGUAGGCGGCUUUGCAAGUCGGAUGUGAAAGCCCACGGCUCAACCGUGGAAGUGCAUCCGAAACUGCAUGGCUGGAGUCUCGGAGAGGAAGGUGGAAUGCUUGGUGUAGAGGUGAAAUUCGUAGAUAUCAAGCAGAACACCUGCGGCGAAGGCGGCUCACUGGCCCGGUACUGACGCUGAGGUGCGAAAGCGUGGGGAGCAAACAGG
RNAcentral lists this ribosomal RNA (253 nucleotides) under uncultured bacterium. Its description in RNAcentral is "partial 16S ribosomal RNA". It matches the Rfam family "Bacterial small subunit ribosomal RNA", at positions 524 to 776 of the family's 1533-position model. The record is from RNAcentral.